AUGGCAGAAGCUUCAGCUCUCAAAUUUGGACUAACAUUAGCGCAAAGGGCGGGGUGCAAUCGCCUAAUCAUCAACUCAGAUAAUCUGGAGGUGAUUGAGACCAUGCAGGACGGGGGGACGGUCAACAGGCAAUUUUUCGAUGAUUGUUUUCACUAUGCAUGUGAUUUUAUCAUGACUAGAUUCGAACAUUGUAAUAGCGAGACAAAUAAAGUAGCACAUGAACUUGCUAAAUUAGCUAGAUUUUCUUCAACUUCGAAUUGGUUUGAGGAGCCUCUGAAUGAAAUUAUAAUGUUCCUCACAAACGAUGUACUGGCUAUAUCUAAUGAAUAA
RNAcentral lists this ribosomal RNA (330 nucleotides) under Triticum aestivum (bread wheat). RNAcentral describes it as "partial small subunit ribosomal RNA". The record is from RNAcentral. Lineage: Eukaryota; Viridiplantae; Streptophyta; Magnoliopsida; Poales; Poaceae.